This 1109-nucleotide long non-coding RNA is filed under the name Helianthus annuus (common sunflower). RNAcentral's name for it is "hypothetical non coding rna". Lineage: Eukaryota; Viridiplantae; Streptophyta; Magnoliopsida; Asterales; Asteraceae. The record is from RNAcentral.
UGCUAAAAAUUCACCACCCUUCACUGGUUUUUUUCCCUAACACCUCUGCUCCCAAAUAAUCCUUCACAAAGUUGUUGAUCACAGAGGUAAUAUGAAGUCCACCAUCACCACCAAGUUAUUAAUUACACAGGUAAUCUGAAGUCCUUUUUAUUAACAUAAGAAAAAUGAAUUGAUCUGUAAACCAAUUCUAUAAAGCAGAUGAAUUAGUAAUUAAAACAAACAUGAUAUUUUCUUAUUUCAAUACUUUAAUCAAUUAAGGGCCACAAAUACAAUUCAAACAUAUCAUUUAUUAUCUCAUCCACAACUUGACAUAUCUUGAAUGAUCGAGAUGUGAGACUUAAUAUUGUGUUUGAGAAAUCAAAGUGUACCAUGUUUGAUUCAAAUUUUGGGGGUUUUAAGAAAGCGUUUGAUUCAGACCCGGUAACUUCAGAUACGACGAUCUUAUCAGACCCGGCCACUUCAGAUACAACCACUAUCAAGUUUGUCUGAUUAGGGUUACCAGAGCCCAGUUGGAACCCAAGUCGCUGCCUUUUCUCCUUGGCCUUUUCUCCUUCGUUGGAAGUUCGAACCCUAACUUGUUACUAACCUGCUCGAUCACCCUAGAUCGAUGCCAUGGUUGUUCCUUCACCGCAAAGUGGUAGUGGGUGGUGCAAUCUGGUGGUGAUGGUGGGGUGGGGUGGUGGAGAUCGUGUAGUGUGGAGAGAGAAAGGUAGAUAGAGGAAGAGUGGUGGCGGAAGGAGGCUGUGGUGGAAGGAGUUGGUGGUGGUGGACUGGUUGUAGAGAGAGAGAGAGAGAGAGAGAUGGAGGAAAGAGAGAGAGGGUUGUUUGUUAAGAGAAAGAAAGAGAUGAGUGAUAUACAAUUAUGCCCUCAUGUGCCUUCCACAUGAUUAAAUUUAACAGAAAGUUUCAACUGGGUUAGGGUUAAAGGACAAAGUUUGUAGUAUUUUGAAACAUUAAGUACAAAACUUGUAAAUUUUAAAGAUAAAGGACACCGCUUGCAAUUAGGUAUAGUGUCACACCCCCAAAAUCCACCUGCGGAGUAUCACCGCUUGGGAGCGUGACUGACCAGGAUCAAGCCACCAAUCAUAUCGAACAUGUAAUUAAUAUCA